RNAcentral lists this ribosomal RNA (254 nucleotides) under uncultured bacterium. RNAcentral describes it as "partial 16S ribosomal RNA". It matches the Rfam family "Bacterial small subunit ribosomal RNA", at positions 524 to 776 of the family's 1533-position model. The record is from RNAcentral.
UACGGAGGGUGCGAGCGUUGUCCGGAAUCAUUGGGCGUAAAGAGCUCGUAGGCGGUUGGGUAAGUCGGGUGUGAAAACUCCAGGCUCAACUUGGAGAUGCCACCCGAUACUGCUCUGACUUGAGUUCGGUAGGGGAGUGGGGAAUUCCUGGUGUAGCGGUGAAAUGCGCAGAUAUCAGGAGGAACACCGGUGGCGAAGGCGCCACUCUGGGCCGAAACUGACGCUGAGGAGCGAAAGCGUGGGUAGCAAACAGG